This 75-nucleotide transfer RNA is filed under the name Aureoumbra lagunensis. It matches the Rfam family "tRNA", at positions 6 to 65 of the family's 71-position model. From Rfam's summary of the family: Transfer RNA (tRNA) molecules are approximately 80 nucleotides in length. Their secondary structure includes four short double-helical elements and three loops (D, anti-codon, and T loops). The record is from RNAcentral. Lineage: Eukaryota; Pelagophyceae; Sarcinochrysidales; Sarcinochrysidaceae.
CGUAGCUCAGUUGGCUAGAGCGGUGGUCUUAUGUUUUCUUGUGAGCCGCAGGUCGAGGGUUCGAGCCCCUCCGGG